Molecule: transfer RNA, 74 nt
Filed under: Cotesia glomerata
Lineage: Eukaryota; Metazoa; Arthropoda; Insecta; Hymenoptera; Braconidae
Description: tRNA-Met
Rfam family: tRNA
About the family: Transfer RNA (tRNA) molecules are approximately 80 nucleotides in length. Their secondary structure includes four short double-helical elements and three loops (D, anti-codon, and T loops).
Source: RNAcentral
GUCUCGGAUAGCUUAUCUGGUAGAGCGUUUGGCGCAUUACCAAAAAGAUCCAGGUUCUAGUCCUGGUCUGGGCU